AUGAAGUCGGAAUUGCUAGUAAUCGCGGAUCAGCAUGCCGCGGUGAAUACGUUCCCGGGCCUUGUACACACCGCCCGUCACACCAUGAGAGUUGGCAACACCCGAAGUCAGUAGGCUAACGCAAGAGGCCGCUGCCGAAGGUGGGGUUGACGAUUGGGGUGAAGUCGUAACAAGGUACC
RNAcentral lists this ribosomal RNA (179 nucleotides) under uncultured bacterium. Its description in RNAcentral is "partial 16S ribosomal RNA". It matches the Rfam family "Bacterial small subunit ribosomal RNA", at positions 1320 to 1500 of the family's 1533-position model. The record is from RNAcentral.